RNAcentral lists this non-coding RNA (30 nucleotides) under Rattus norvegicus (Norway rat). The record is from RNAcentral. Lineage: Eukaryota; Metazoa; Chordata; Mammalia; Rodentia; Muridae.
UCCUGGUUCCUUAAAUUUGGUGAAACUGGC